This is a long non-coding RNA of Aquila chrysaetos chrysaetos, 2425 nucleotides long. RefSeq lists it as uncharacterized. The record is from RefSeq and is a predicted model, not a curated record. The transcript is spliced from 2 exons. Lineage: Eukaryota; Metazoa; Chordata; Aves; Accipitriformes; Accipitridae.
CAGAGCCGUCGCUCCCCCGCUCCGGUGCCUCCUCCCGGUCCCUCCCCCGCCCCCGACCGUUUUUCUAUAAAUGCCGGGAACGAGCGGGAGUCGUGACACUUCGUGAGAUUUGCUUAUCAAUUCACAAGAGGACGGUUGCAAGAAGGAUUUUUGGAAGCCCUUUUGCCUGUGCACAACAGGCUUGGAGCCAAAAAACCACUGGCCAUUCAAACAGACUUUGCUUGUUUAAUGCUACAGCAUUAAUUAAACCAGUGUUUCAACUUCCAGAGCCAUUGCACGUUUUGUAACAGGGCAGAUGCCAGAAGAAUCGAGCCUGAAUAAACUCCGUCCUUCACCUAGGAAGGUGGUGCUGUCUCCAGAAACAAAUGUGCCUUUUGAAGGAUGAACAGCUGCUGGCAUCAGACAGCUGCUGGCUCGGUUCUUAAAUAUGGUUAGUUCCCAGGUAACACUGAAUGCUUGGACUUUCUGUUCUUGAAGUUAAAUGCAACCUUUGAAAUGGGUGAGUGCCGCUGCCCCACUGGGCUCCCAGGCAGGAGCUCUUCGCUGUGACCAGAGCAGAGAGAUGGAAUGCUGGACUUGACUCACUGCAAGGCUGCAGGGCUGGCAUGUCUCCUUGAGCAGAGGGUGUUUGAAGUGCCAGUUGGGGUAGUUACAAUGACUGUGUGAGGCGGCACAGGCAGGACACAGGAACAACCACAAAACCAUGCAUUAAAUGCAAACAGUAAAUUUAUUUUUGUUACCUCGCCAACUGGGGGAUCCCUGAAGCAGCACCCGGGCACAGGCACAUGAGCAGGGACACAGGCACUGCUGAGCUCAGCCCAUGCUAGGGGAUUGCCGACCCUGCUGUUUUCACCAGUUUAUCAGGGAUUCGUGCAGGCACAAUGUACCACUGUGCUUUGAUACUUCCCACAGCAGGACAGGAAUCUCAAGCAUGUUCGAUAGGGUGCCUCUUAAGUCUAUCACAGGCCUGUGUUACCUAAACACACAUGUUCUACUUGUCAAGCAUGCAAGGAUAAACAGCAAUUAGUAUAAUAUAUGUAUACAUCUGCACGCCAGCUGCAGGUCACUUGAGCGUGUUUAUAAUCCUCCUUGCCAAUCGUCCGUUAUUAUCCCACGUUCCACCCCCUCACUCAAGGGAGCACUUCCACUGGGUCUGGCGAAGCUGGAGGUGUCCAUUUGGGCUUGCAGGGUGCAGGGCAGGGUAAUGUGUAGAGGCAUGUAAUGAACACAUAUAGAAAAAGGAAUAAACUUAUCCCUACAAUAAUGCUUUGAAUCAAGUGUCCCACCCAUCCUGUCAGGGAAUUAAACAGCUCAGCCAGCCAGGCACCACCAGUAGAUUGUUUCAUUUGAUGUGUUAAAAUCCUGGAAGUGUUGAAUGUCAUCCUCUAUGCUGGCUGAUUAAUCAGUUACAUUGAAGCAACACAUGCCUUCAAGAUCGUAGCAGCGUUUAUGGUGUAGAAGGAGAGAGUCCACCGCCAGUUGAUUUCGUAAUGUUCCCGGGAAUACAGCCAUUACCUACUCAGAAAAAAUAGCAAUGAGGAACAUUAAUGUCAAAAGCACUUAACAUAGUAUAAUUCUGUAAUACAGCUACUGGAGUUUGCAAGCCAAUAAAACGUUGUCAAAAGAUCUGCAGCUGUUAAUCGAUACAAUAGAGAAGGCAGAUGAGUUACAGUAGAGGCCAACCAAAUCCAAGUAUUUACAUGUUGAUCUUGUGGAAACGCAUCCAGGGCACGUGCUUGUAGUACAAGACUACAAACCAUGAUAAGCCAACCUGUGAUAAGGAAGGAAAACAGGAGUGUCAUCUCCUUCCAGUAAUACAUAAAUAACGCUGUUGCUCCAGCUUCUUCAGCUACUAUUACUCUGGGUUUGAUAACCUGAUAUGGGGUAAUUGCCCACACAGAUUGAAGAACUAUGGCUUGUGCUUUUUCAGAUUGAACUUCAAUUCAAUGUUGGAUUUGCAACACCAAUAACACUGUUCCAAUGCUAUGUAUCUUCUCUAGAUAAGGCACAGGUAUUCAUCGAAGAUACUUGAAAUACAAGAGCUCAAGACAAACCAGACAAUUGUUUCAUCCCUCCAGCUGGACACCACCAGAGCCUCUUGGACUCCCCUGGAGCGUCACCCAGGUUAUUGGGGCCUGGAGGUGGCAUUUUGUCAUUCUGAAGAUGACAAAACCAGUGCAGGGUGGCUGUCCUCAGCUAGCUCUCGCCUCAGCUACCAAACGAGUGAGUGAAGAUGAAGCCAGACCCACGCUGGCAGUGCACAGAGAAUACUAACAAGUCAUCAAAGAAGGUAGAUGCCCCAUCCCUGCAAACAUUCAAGAUGGAGAGACAGCUCUUUAAGAGAAGCCUUCAGUCCUGACAGGAAGUAGUUUUGGCAAGAUCAGGCAAUAAACAAUUAAAAAACCCAAUAAAACCCAAUUUAAAA